CUGCCCAGGAAGGAGGAACAGGGCCUGACCAGAGUCGGUACUCCAUAAAUAGUCCUGGAAUGAAUUCAGGAUUCCUCGGGGUGCUUCCGGAAACCAGGACACCACCCCUCCCAGCACACUUCGGAGCUGAGGAGCUGAGCCACCGGGAGACCAGAUAAAGAAACUGAGGUGCAGAGAGGAGGAGAGAUGACUCAUCCAAGGUCACACAGACUGGGAAACUGAGGCUGGUAGCACUGAAGAGGCCUGAACUAGCAAGUGGCAGCAAGAGGUCUUCAGUCAUUCACCUUGGCAUGCCUGCAGAUGGGCAGCAUGGCACAGGUCUGUAUUUCUUUGUUUGGUUAUCUGGCUUGGCUGCAUCGACUUCAAGUGCAGAUGUGCAGCUUCCUUUGCCCCUUGGUGCUGACAAUGAUCCCAGGCAUCCUGGCCUCUGCUACUCCGGUGCCUCCCUGGGGAAGGAAAUCAGGAGCAGACUUUCCAGCACCCAAGGCCUUCAACGCUGAGAAUCUUCAUCCUUAAGUUUGUUUGCUGUGGAAGAAGACCCCUACUGGUCUCCCCAGCUCACUGCUGUUGGUCUGCGGGCACUGGCCCGGAGCCCACCAUCCCCUCACUGGGAGCCACGCCGGGCUAAGCAGACACAGCCUCCCUGGGACAGGAAACCGGAGCAGGAGGACAGGAGGCAGAAGAUGCUGGAUGGCGUUCAUUCUGACUUCAGCGAGGCCCUGACGGCAAUGUCUGCCGUGAGUACGUCUCGGGGUCCCGAGCCCCUGGUCCAGGCCACUUCCAGUCCUGCUUUUCUGGAUCCAUUCAGUGAGCCUCCCCACCUCCAGUGCACAUGCACGCACACACACACACACACACAGCCUUCCAGGAGACCCCUCGGCUUAAAUCAGCCAGAUUCUUUCACACUGGCUCACAACAGAUGUCUCCAAAGUCCGCUCUUCUAGCAGCCUUGUGUCAGCAAAACUUUAGGAAAAAUGAGAGAAUUGGAGCAGCAUCCAGCAUGGGAUAAAAGGAAAAAAGACAACAAUUUUAGGAGAAGAAUGGAAAAUUUUUAAAAAGUUAACAUGUCAGCACAAAGGUAUUUGAAGAAAUGUCAAGACCCUUGAGAAUCCCUGGGGACGUGCAGGGGCCAGGACUUCUCACUGGGGUCUCGAGCCCUGUGUAAAUAUUAGGGGAGGGGUACCCUACAGGAAGCCUGGCAGAUGUCGGCACCCAGGGCCUAGGUCCUCCCCGGGUGUCCACGUGAGUCCCAUGCCUGACACAUGGAUACGAGGGGCGGCGGUGGCCACUCCCUGACACAUUGCCCUCUGGACAGCGUGGUACCCUCGCUUUCGGCCAGAGCAUCACGGCCUUGGCCAGGCGCCCUCCCCUGCUGCGGGCUUCUUCCUGCACACAUGCUGUUUUGAUUCCACGCCCCCUCAGUCUCCACUCAUUUUCCUGCCUAAUGAGGUGAGCUUCACCCAGCCCAGUGGCAGUUCCUGUAAAUGCUGGCGUUUCGAUGACCCAACGUGGUGAGCUUACAGGGAAGUGCUCCCUGAGGGCUGGGCUGGCUGGAAACAGAGGCUUGGCCCCUUGCAAGGACGGUAAUGAGGUCUGAAGGUUCUGAUGGCACGCAGGGGUGCUGUGGGCGCCAAAAGCCCUGGGCUGGCAGGGGUCAGAAGAUCUGGGCUCCAGCCCCAGACAUGCUAACUAGGCGUUCGUCUCUCCUGGGUAAAAUGGGGAUAAUGCCUCUACCGCUGUUAGGCUCCAACUGGAUGACAGAUGUAGAAUCAGUCUGAAAACCACAGAGCUCUAAGCAAGUACAAGGACAUACCAAUAGUACCGUCACUGCAGCAGUCAUUAUCAUUGUUAUUUGCACCUAGAAUCUUCUGUGGUUGGCAGAAUAUUAGGAGGCCCCCAGGGACUUUCGAUCUUGACAAUAAUCCUCUGCCCUUUGUGGUGGGUGGGCAGGACCUGUGACUAUUCGGAGCUGCAAUUCCUGUGAUUAUGUCGCCUUCCAAGGCAGAAGGGAGAUUAUGCUGGGCAGGCCUGAGCCAAUCAGGUGAGCCCUUAAACAGGACCCGCUCUUCCAGGCCAAAUCGGUGUGAAGCAUGAGAGGGAUGCGGUGCGAGAGAGCCUCCAUCGCUGGCUUUGAAGAUGGGCGGCCACGUCACAGGGAAUAUGCCAGGCCUCUGGAAGCGGAGAGUGGCCUUGGCGGACAGCUGCGAAGGAAGUGGGGACUUCAGUCCUGUAAUCACAUGGAACUGCAUGACGCCACCCACAACGGUCUUGGAAGUGGGUUUGUCCCCAGAUCCUCCAAACAUGAACUCAGUCCAACCAAUAUCUUGGAAACCAGCCUCUGUCCUCCAGAGCCGGGCGCUGCUAAACGGGACUGUCUUGAGCUGCUGGGUUUCUGGUGGUUUGUUCUGUAGCAAUAGGAAACCAAUCCAGGGGUUCCCAUUGUGGCUCAGUGGGUUAAGAACCCGACAUAGUGUCUGUGAGGAUGUGGGUUCCAUCCUGCCCUUGCACAGAAGGUUAAGGAUCUGGCGUGGCUGUGGCUGUGGUCUAGGCCGGCAGCUGCAGCUCCGAUUUGAACCCUAGCCCCGGAACCUCCAUGUGCCACAGGUGGAGCAGAAAAAAGGAAAAGAAAACGGAUCUUCCCCGAGAAGGAAGAUUUAAAGCGGAAGAGGCUCCUUCCCCAGCUCCACUCCCAGGGCAGCCCGGCUGGAAGCGAGUCCUGACUCUCCCGCUGGCUGGCGGGGGGAGGGCGGGGAUGCUGCGAGGCCUCCUUCGCCACGCAGAAGCCCAGCUGCCUCAUCUGUGAGAUGGGGAUGGAGAUGAAACGUGCAUAAAGCAUCAGAGCAUGCUCAACAUCGCUGAUUAUAAGAGAAAUGCAAAUCAAAACUACCAUGAGAUACCACCUCACACCAGUCAGAAUGGCCAUCAUUAAUAAAUCCACAAAUAACAA
Molecule: long non-coding RNA, 2947 nt
Organism: Sus scrofa (pig)
Lineage: Eukaryota; Metazoa; Chordata; Mammalia; Artiodactyla; Suidae
Source: RefSeq, a predicted model, not a curated record